CUGGCUCUUGUAGACCAAGCUGGUCUUGAACUCACAGAGAUCUCCCUGCCUCUGCCUCCCAAGUGCUGAGAUCAAAGGCAUGCACCACUGAUGCCCGGCUGAAUUGGAAACUUUCUUACAGUUUCAGAGGUGCCACCAACUGAAGACCAGUCAUUUAAAUAUGUGAGCCUGUGGAGCCCAUUCUCUUUCAAACCAGCAUACAGGGUAUCUUAACAAGAAGGAAUUGGGAGAAUCCUACCAUAGAGUUUGGGGCUUUGAUAUAGAACUCUCAACUGCUUCUCCAGUACCAUGUCUUCUUCCUCUAUGCUGUCAUGCUUCCAGCCAUGGUGACAAUGGACUAAACCUCUGAAUGAUUGUUUCACUCUCCUGUAGCUCUGAGUAGCUUGGAACUCACAGAGAGCCACCUGCCUGUGUAUCCUGAGUCCUGGGACUAAAGUUGUAUGCCACUACUGCCUGGCCUCUAUGGCUGUGGCAAGCUUUGCAUUCUGAUCUCCAUGCAAGCUUUAUUAGAUCAUGAACAAUAUAUCACCACAUGGGUCUUCGGUUCUAUUUCAUGGAUCAAAGUGUCCGUUUUUAUGCCAGUGUCGUGCAGUUUUAAUUACUAUAGCUGCCUGGUGUAACUUUAAACCAGAGUGAUGUUAUCUUCAGCCAUUGUUUUAUCAUUCAGAAUUGUUUCUGUUC
Molecule: non-coding RNA, 681 nt
Organism: Cricetulus griseus (Chinese hamster)
Lineage: Eukaryota; Metazoa; Chordata; Mammalia; Rodentia; Cricetidae
Source: RefSeq, a predicted model, not a curated record